Molecule: ribosomal RNA, 433 nt
Filed under: uncultured bacterium
Lineage: Bacteria
Description: bacterial SSU rRNA
Rfam family: Bacterial small subunit ribosomal RNA
Source: RNAcentral
GCGAACGCUGGCGGCAGGCUUAACACAUGCAAGUCGAGCGGGCGUAGCAAUACGUCAGCGGCAGACGGGAGAGUAACACGUGGGAACGCGCCCUUCGGUUCGGAAUAACUCAGGGAAACUUGAGCUAAUACCGGAUACGCCCUAACGGGGAAAGAUUUAUCGCCAAGGGAUGAGCCCGCGUAGGAUUAGGUAGUUGGUGGGGUAAAGGCCUACCAAGCCGACGAUCCUUAGCUGGUCUGAGAGGAUGAUCAGCCACACUGGGACUGAGACACGGCCCAGACUCCUACGGGAGGCAGCAGUGGGGAAUAUUGGACAAUGGGCGAAAGCCUGAUCCAGCAAUGCCGCGUGAGUGAUGAAGGCCUUAGGGUCGUAAAGCUCUUUUACCAGGGAUGAUAAUGACAGUACCUGGAGAAUAAGCUCCGGCUAACUCCGU